UGCAAGUCGAGGGGNAGAHGGUGCUUGCAASGGAGACCGGCGCACGGGUGCUAACGCGUAUGCRACCUACCUUCAACAGGGGGAAGCCCAGAGMMMUUUGGAUUAAUACCCCAUGGUAUAAUUGGAUGGCAUCAUUUGAUUAUUAAAGUCACAACGGUUGAAGAUGGGCAUGCGUCCCAUUAGUUAGUUGGUAAGGNAAUGGCUUACCAAGACUAUGAUGGGUAGGGGUCCUGAGAGGGAGAUCCCCCACACUGGUACUGAGACACGGACCAGACUCCUACGGGAGGCAGCAGUGAGGAAUAUUGGUCAAUGGGCGCACGGAACCAGCCAUGCCGCGUGCAGGAUGAAGCAUCUAUGGUGUGUAAACUGCUUUUGCACGGGAAGAAACCUUCGCUCGUGAGCAAAUUGACGGUACCGUAAGAAUAAGGAUCGGCBAACUCCGUGCCAGCAGCCGCGGUAAUACGGAGGAUCCAGCGUUAUCCGGAAUCAUUGGGUUUAAAGGGUCCGUAGCGGCCCGGUAAGUCAGUGGUGAAAUCUCCCCGCUCAACGGGAAACUGCCAUUGAUACUGCCGGGCUUGAGUUACUAGGAAGUAACUAGAAUAUGUAGUGUAGCGGUGAAAUGCUUAGAGAUUACAUGGAAUCCCAAUUGCGAGGCAGGUUACUACUAGUGGAUUGACGCUGAUGGACGAAAGCGUGGGUAGCGAACAGGAUUAGAUACCCUGGUAGUCCACGCCGUAAACGAUGGAUACUAGCUGUUGGAGCAUUCAGUGGCU
RNAcentral lists this ribosomal RNA (773 nucleotides) under uncultured Bacteroidota bacterium. RNAcentral's name for it is "bacterial SSU rRNA". It matches the Rfam family "Bacterial small subunit ribosomal RNA", at positions 56 to 848 of the family's 1533-position model. Lineage: Bacteria; Pseudomonadati; Bacteroidota. The record is from RNAcentral.